AAAUAAGCGGCAGAUGAGUUUGCAAUCAGUUUCGGCCUGAUUUUAGAGUUAAUAUUCCUUAUUUA
This 65-nucleotide transfer RNA is filed under the name Xystodesmus sp. YD-2016. Its description in RNAcentral is "tRNA-Arg". The record is from RNAcentral. Lineage: Eukaryota; Metazoa; Arthropoda; Diplopoda; Polydesmida; Xystodesmidae.